This 545-nucleotide ribosomal RNA is filed under the name uncultured Bacteroidota bacterium. Its description in RNAcentral is "bacterial SSU rRNA". It matches the Rfam family "Bacterial small subunit ribosomal RNA", at positions 76 to 617 of the family's 1533-position model. The record is from RNAcentral. Lineage: Bacteria; Pseudomonadati; Bacteroidota.
UUGCUUGCAAUCCGCUGACGACCGGCGCACGGGUGCGUAACGCGUAUGCAACCUACCUUCUACAGGGGGAUAGUCAAUAGAAAUGUUGAAUAAUACCCCAUACGAUCUUUGAAUAGCAUUAUUUAAAGAAGAAAGCUCCGGCGGUAGAAGAUGGGCAUGCGUCCUAUUAGUUAGUUGGUAAGGUAACGGCUUACCAAGACUUCGAUAGGUAGGGGUCCUGAGAGGGAGACCCCCCACACUGGUACUGAGACACGGACCAGACUCCUACGGGAGGCAGCAGUGAGGAAUAUUGGACAAUGGAGGCAACUCUGAUCCAGCCAUGCCGCGUGCAGGAAGACUGCCCUAUGGGUUGUAAACUGCUUUUAUACAGGAAGAAAUAUACCUACGUGUAGGUAUUUGACGGUACUGUACGAAUAAGGAUCGGCUAACUCCGUGCCAGCAGCCGCGGUAAUACGGAGGAUCCAAGCGUUAUCCGGAAUCAUUGGGUUUAAAGGGUCCGUAGGCGGUCUUUUAAGUCAGAGGUGAAAUCCUACAGCUCAACUGUA